Molecule: long non-coding RNA, 651 nt
Filed under: Homo sapiens (human)
Lineage: Eukaryota; Metazoa; Chordata; Mammalia; Primates; Hominidae
Description: mir-99a-let-7c cluster host gene
Source: RNAcentral
ACACAUUUGGGACCUUCUCAGGCUUCACCCUAUGCACCUCUUUUUGCUGAUCCUGAUUUGUAUUAUUUGUGCUAUAAUAACACUGUAAUUAUAUGUAUAGGACUUUCCUGAAUUCUCUGUCACUGUCAGUCUAUUAAAUGAUUGAGCAUGAAGAGAGAGUAGGAACCCCUGAGUAUUUAGCUUGUUGGUCAGAAGUGCUGGUGGCCUUGGAACUCAUAAGCUUGUGGCUAGUUUCUGAGGUGAGUGAGAGGUCUUGUGAAGGACUGUGCCCUCAGCCUGUGAAGUCUGCCUAACUCUGGCUAGUCCAUCGCAAGUCACUGCACACGUAUUAAUUCAAUCAGCUCUAUGGUAUGGAUCUGAGAACGCUGUCUGGGCUUGGUACCAAGAGCUGGUAUUUCACAGCAGCGACCGCCUCACAGACGAGCUGUGGGAAGCAGGAGGGAGACUCUCUCUUAGGGUGCCACUACUAUGGAGACACAGCUGGGCUGAACAAGAUUUGCUUCAAACGACAACAAGAGAGACAGAAAGUAUCUGGUUCAACCGCUGCCCGAGCAGGCAGGCACCAGAAGAGCUAGCAGCCAAUCCGGCCAUGCUCGAAGCCAGCUCUGCAGCUCAGCCAAUCAGUGACAUCAUUGGCACUGUGAAUACAAA